Molecule: ribosomal RNA, 468 nt
Filed under: uncultured bacterium
Lineage: Bacteria
Description: partial 16S ribosomal RNA
Rfam family: Bacterial small subunit ribosomal RNA
Source: RNAcentral
GACGAACGCUGGCGGCGUGCUUAACACAUGCAAGUCGAACGGAAAGGCCCGGCUCUUGUGGCGUGCUCGAGUGGCGAACGGGUGUGUAUCACGUGAGUAACCUGCCCUUUACUGUGGGAUAACUUAAGGGAACUGGGGCUAAUAUCGGAUAUGAGAUCCUGCUGCACGGUGGGGGUGGGAAAGAUGCGGCGUUUGGGGAUGGACUCGCGGCUUAUCAGCUUGUUGGUGGGGUGGUGGCUUACAAAGGCUUCGACGGGUAGCCGGCCUGAGAGGGUGACCGGCCACAUUGGGACUGAGAUGCGGCCCAGACUGCAACGGGAGGCAGCAGUGGGGAAUAGUGCACGAUGGGCGGAAGCCGGAUGCAGCAACGCCGGGUGCGGGAUGACGGCUUUCGGGGUGGAAACCGCGUUCGCGUGUGACGAAGAGUGAGUGACGGUAAUGGGUAAAGAAGCACCGGCUAACUACGUG